Molecule: ribosomal RNA, 973 nt
Filed under: uncultured organism
Description: bacterial SSU rRNA
Rfam family: Bacterial small subunit ribosomal RNA
Source: RNAcentral
AUCCUGGCUCAGGACGAACGCUGGCGGCGUGGAUAAGGCAUGCAAGUCGAACGCGAACGGAACAACUAAUUCGUUAGUAGUUCCUAGUAGAGUGGCGAACGGGUGAGUAACGCGUGGAUAACAUACCUUUCAGUGGGGAAUAACAUCGGGAAACUGAUGCUAAUACCGCAGAUGUCAUUUCAUUGAUUUUGAUUUGACUGAAGGGGGGGCUCCUUUUGGACCUUCCGCUGAUAGAUUGGCCCGCGUCCCAUUAGCUAGUUGGUGGGGUAAAGGCCUACCAAGGCGACGAUGGGUAGCCGGCCUGAGAGGGUGUCCGGCCACACUGGGAUUGAGAUACGGCCCAGACUCCUUCGGGAGGCAGCAGUCGAGAAUCUUCCACAAUGUACGAAAGUAUGAUGGAGCGACGCCGCGUGUGUGAUGAAGGCUCAACGAGUUGUAAAGCACUGUCAGGGGGGAAGAAUCAGCGCAUAACUAAUAAAUAUGCGCUCUGACGUACCCCCAGAGGAAGCUCCGGCUAACUCCGUGCCAGCAGCCGCGGUAAUACGGAGGGAGCAAGCGUUGUCCGGAAUUAUUGGGCGUAAAGGGCACGCAGGCGGUUCGGUAAGUCGAAUGUGAAAUCUUACAGCUUAACUGUAAAACUGCGUUCGAAACUACCGAACUUGAGUACUGGAGAGGUAUGCGGAAUUCCUGGUGGAGCGGUGGAAUGCGUGGAUAUCAGGAAGAACACCGGUGGCGAAGGCGGCAUACUGGCCAAGUACUGACGCUCAGGUGCGAAAGCGUGGGGAGCAAACGGGAUUAGAUACCCCGGUAGUCCACGCUGUAAACGAUGGGUACUAGGUUUUGGAGGUCUCAACCCCUUCAGAGCCGCAGCUAACGCAUUAAGUACCCCGUCUGGGGAAAUACGGGGUCGCAAGGCUGAAAACUCAAAGGGAAAUUGACGGGGGCCCGCACCAAGCGGUGGAGCAUGUUGUUU